GGUCAAGCGAACAAGUGCAUGUGGUGGAUGCCUUGGCGAUCACAGGCGAUGAAGGACGCGGUAGCCUGCGAAAAGCCCCGGGGAGCUGGCAAACAAGCUUUGAUCCGGGGAUGUCCGAAUGGGGAAACCCACUCCGUAUGGAGUAUCCAUGACUGAAUACAUAGGUCAUGUGAAGCGAACGCGGUGAACUGAAACAUCUAAGUAACCGCAGGAAAAGAAAUCAACCGAGAUUCCCAAAGUAGUGGCGAGCGAAAUGGGAUGAGCCUUGUACUCUUUAUUUGUAUUGUUAGCCGAACGCUCUGGAAAGUGCGGCCAUAGCAGGUGAUAGCCCUGUAGGCGAAA
Molecule: ribosomal RNA, 342 nt
Filed under: Burkholderia multivorans
Lineage: Bacteria; Pseudomonadati; Pseudomonadota; Betaproteobacteria; Burkholderiales; Burkholderiaceae
Description: partial 23S ribosomal RNA
Rfam family: Bacterial large subunit ribosomal RNA
Source: RNAcentral